GACGAACGCUGGCGGCGUGCUUAACACAUGCAAGUCGAACGGAAAGGCCCUGCUUUUGUGGGGUGCUCGAUUGGCGAACGGGUGAGUAACACGUGAGUAACCUGCCCUUUACUUUGUGAUAACUUCAGGAAACUGGGGCUAAUACCGGAUAGUAUCUCCUGCUGCAUGGUGUGGGUUGGAAAGUUUCGGCUGUUGGGGAUGGACUCGCGGCUUAUCAGCUUGUUGGUGGGGUAGUUGCUUACCAAGGCUUUGACGGGUAGCCGGCCUGAGAGGGUGACAGGGAAAAAUGGGACUGAGAGACGGAACAGAAUCGAACGGGAGGCAGCAGGGGGGAAUAUUGCAAAAUGGGCGGAAGCAUGAUGCAGCAAAGCGGCGGGGGGGAUGAAGGCCUGCGGGUUGUAAACAGAUUUAGCAUGUGACGAAGAGUGAGUGACGGUAAUGGGUAAAGAAGCACCGGCUAACUACGUG
This 468-nucleotide ribosomal RNA is filed under the name uncultured bacterium. RNAcentral's name for it is "partial 16S ribosomal RNA". It matches the Rfam family "Bacterial small subunit ribosomal RNA", at positions 28 to 507 of the family's 1533-position model. The record is from RNAcentral.